UGGAGUAAACAAAACUAUACAGUGCAAUUGUUUUACCAACUUGUGGACAGAAAUCAAGUUGUGUUUAAAGGAAGGAACCAGAAGGACAUUGUGAAGAGUAAGGGAAGAAGUUAAUGCAAAAGAACCUGUACAAGUUACUUUCACUUUGUAACUAUUAGGCAAAGUUACAAGAUAAGGAACAGUCAAAGGUAUGAUGUUAAAGAGUAGAUGUACAAGUUACUUUCACUUUGUAACCAUUAGGCAAAGUUACUAGAUAAGGAACAGUCAAAGGUAUGAUGUUAAAGAGUAGGUUUUUAUCAUGUGUUAUAUGAUUAGAUGCCCCUGAAUCUAUGAUCCAG
RNAcentral lists this long non-coding RNA (338 nucleotides) under Nicotiana benthamiana. RNAcentral's name for it is "long non-coding RNA (NBEN_LNC006907)". The record is from RNAcentral. Lineage: Eukaryota; Viridiplantae; Streptophyta; Magnoliopsida; Solanales; Solanaceae.